This 440-nucleotide ribosomal RNA is filed under the name uncultured bacterium. RNAcentral's name for it is "partial 16S ribosomal RNA". It matches the Rfam family "Bacterial small subunit ribosomal RNA", at positions 338 to 795 of the family's 1533-position model. The record is from RNAcentral.
CCUACGGGCGGUAGCAGUGGGGAAUAUUGCACAAUGGGCGAAACCCUGAUGCAGCGACGCCGCGUGAGUGAAGAAGUAUCUCGGUACGUAAAGCUCUAUCAUCAGGGAAGAAAAUGACGGUACCUGACUAAGAAGCCCCUGCUAACUACGUGCCAGCAGCCGCGGUAAUACGUAGGGGCCAAGCGUUAUCCGGAAUUACUGGGUGUAAGGGGAGCGUAGACGUUGAUGUAAGUCUGGAGUGAAAGGCGCGGGCAAAACCCCCGGACUGCGCUGGAAACUAUGUGACUGGAGUGCAGGAGAGGUGAGCGGAAUUCGUGGUGUAGCGGUGAAAUGCGUAGAUAUUAGGAAGAACACCAGUGGCGAAGGCGGCUCACGGGACUGCAAUUGACGUUGAGGCUCGAAAGCGUGGGGAGCAAACAGGAUUAGAUACCCUGGUAGUC